This 1947-nucleotide ribosomal RNA is filed under the name human gut metagenome. Its description in RNAcentral is "bacterial LSU rRNA". It matches the Rfam family "Bacterial large subunit ribosomal RNA", at positions 266 to 2292 of the family's 2925-position model. The record is from RNAcentral.
AGCCCAAACCGAAGGUAUUCCUUCGGGGUUGUAGGACCACGUCAUAUUCGACCAUACUGGAUAGUAGAACAGCCUGGAAAGGCUGGCCGGAGAAGGUGAAAGCCCUGUAGACGAAAUCCAGAGUGGGAAUUAGUGGUAUCCUGAGUAAUACAUCACACGUGGAACGAUGUAUGAACCCGCGCGGACCACCGCGCAAGGCUAAAUACUAGUUGGCGACCGAUAGUGAACAAGUACCGCGAGGGAAAGGUGAAAAGAACCGCUGUGAGCGGAGUGAAACAGAACCUGAAACCGUAUGUCUACAAAGUGUCAGAGCAGAGCAAUCUGCGAUGGCGUGCCUUUUGUUUAAUGAGUCUGCGAGUCAGUGUUUGUGGCAAGACUAAGGGCUUCCGGCCCGGAGUCGCAGCGAAAGCAAGUCCGAACAGGGCGCAAUAAGUCGCAGGUACUGGACCCGAAGCGGAGGUGACCUACCCUUGGCCAGGUUGAAGCAUGGGUAAAACCAUGUGGAGGACCGAACAGGUGAACGUUGAAAAGUUCUCUGAUGAGCUGAGGGUAGGAGUGAAAGGCUAAUCAAACCCCGUGAUAGCUGGUUCUCUUCGAAAUGCAUUUAGGUGCAGCGUCACGUGCUGAUGCGCGGGGGUAGAGCACUGACAAGGCUAGGGGGCACACCCGCUUACCAAACCUUAUCAAACUCCGAAUACCGUGCAAUGGAACGUGGCAGUGAGACAGUGGGGGAUAAGCUUCAUUGUCGAGAGGGAAACAACCCAGACCAGCAGCUAAGGUGCCUAAAUAACGCUCAGUGGAAAGGAUGUGGGAUUACACAGACAGUGAGGAUGUUGGCUUAGAAGCAGCCACCAUUUAAAAAAUGCGUAAUAGCUUACUCAUCGAGUGAUCCUGCGCCGAAAAUGAUUGGCGAUCAAGCGUUAUACCGAAGCUCUGGACUUUGCCGCAAGGCAGAGUGGUAGAAGAGCGUUGCAUGCGCGUCGAAGGGUGAUGGCGACUGACCCUGGAGCACAUGCAAGUGAGUAUGCAGACAUGAGUAACGUUAAGCCGGGUGAAAUCCCCGGCCGCCGUAAACCCGAGGUUUCCAGGGCAACGUGUUUCGUCCCUGGGUUAGCCGGGACCUAAGCCGAGGCCGAGAGGCGUAGGCGAUGGACAUCAGGUUAAUAAUCCUGAGCUCGCAACCCUUAAACUGGGGGGACGCAUGAGAAAAGAUGACUAGGUUAUUGAAUUCCGAGUUGAGUCCACGGACUCAGCGCAUCAUUGGAUCGAGUGCCAAGAAAAGCCCCAGCGUAUGCUAAGCGACCCGUACCGCAAACCGACACAGGUGGGUGGGUAGAAUAUACCAAGGCGUAAGAGUGAAACCUGGUUAAGGAACUCGGCAAAUUAGCCCCGUAACUUCGGAAGAAGGGGUGCCUGCAGCGAUGCAGGCCGCAGAGAAAUGGCCCAACCGACUGUUUAUCAAAAACACAGCACUCUGCAAAGACGCAAGUCGAAGUAUAGGGUGUGACACGUGACCAAUGCCGAAAGAUUAAGGCAAGGGGUUAGCCGCAAGGCGAAGCUCUAAACCCAAGUCCCGGUGAAUGUCGGCCGUAACUAUAACGGUCCUAAGGUAGCGAAAUUCCUUGUCGGGUAAGUUCCGACCUGCACGAAUCGUGAAACGAGUUGGGCACUGUCUCAACCAGGCGCUCAGUGAAAUUGUAGUGGCGGUGAAGAUGCCGCCUACCCGCAGAAGGACGGAAAGACCCUAUAGACCUUAACUGUAAGCUGUCAUUGUUUCUUCGGUUUUAAUGCUCAGAGUAAGUGGGAGACGCUGAAGACGCCCUUUAGGGGGCGUCCGAGUCAUCAAUGAGACACCACCCUUUGAAACUGGAGGAUCUAACCCUGAGCCGUGAAUCCGGCCAGAGGACCGUGUCAGCCGGUCAGUUUUACUGGGGCGGUAUCCUCCCA